AGAGUUUGAUCCUGGCUCAGGACGAACGCUGGCGGCGUGCCUAAUACAUGCAAGUCGAACGCAUUUUCUUUCACCGUAGCUUGCUACACCGAAAGAAAAUGAGUGGCGAACGGGUGAGUAACACGUGGGCAACCUGCCCAUCAGCGGGGGAUAACACUUGGAAACAGGUGCUAAUACCGCAUAAUUCCAUUUACCGCAUGGUAGAUGGGUGAAAGGCGCUUUUGCGUCACUGAUGGAUGGACCCGCGGUGCAUUAGCUAGUUGGUGGGGUAACGGCCUACCAAGGCUGCGAUGCAUAGCCGACCUGAGAGGGUGAUCGGCCACACUGGGACUGAGACACGGCCCAGACUCCUACGGGAGGCAGCAGUAGGGAAUCUUCGGCAAUGGACGCAAGUCUGACCGAGCAACGCCGCGUGAGUGAAGAAGGUUUUCGGAUCGUAAAACUCUGUUGUUAGAGAAGAACAAGGAUGAGAGUGGAAAGUUCAUCCCUUGACGGUAUCUAACCAGAA
Molecule: ribosomal RNA, 508 nt
Filed under: uncultured bacterium
Lineage: Bacteria
Description: bacterial SSU rRNA
Rfam family: Bacterial small subunit ribosomal RNA
Source: RNAcentral